GACGAACGCUGGCGGCGUGCUUAACACAUGCAAGUCGAACGGAAAGGCCCUGCUUUUGUGGGGUGCUCGAGUGGCGAACGGGUGAGUAACACGUGAGUAACCUGCCCUUGACUUUGGGAUAACUUCAGGAAACUGGGGCUACUACCGGAUAGGAGCUCCUGCUGCAUGGUGGGGGUUGGAAAGUUUCGGCGGUUGGGGAUGGACUCGCGGCUUAUCAGCUUGUUGGUGGGGUAGUGGCUUACCAAGGCUUUGACGGGUAGCCGGCCUGAGAGGGUGACCGGCCACAUUAGGAAUAGGAUACGGCACAGACUGCUACGGGAGGCAGCAGUGGAGAAUAUUGCACCAUGGGCGGAAGCAUGAUGCAGCAGCGCCGCGUGCGGGAUGACGGCCUUCGGAUUGUAAACCGCUUUCGCCUGUAACGAAGCGUGAGUGACGGUAAUGGGUAAAGAAGCACCGGCUAACUACGUG
RNAcentral lists this ribosomal RNA (468 nucleotides) under uncultured bacterium. RNAcentral's name for it is "partial 16S ribosomal RNA". It matches the Rfam family "Bacterial small subunit ribosomal RNA", at positions 28 to 507 of the family's 1533-position model. The record is from RNAcentral.